Molecule: ribosomal RNA, 255 nt
Filed under: uncultured bacterium
Lineage: Bacteria
Description: partial 16S ribosomal RNA
Rfam family: Bacterial small subunit ribosomal RNA
Source: RNAcentral
UACGAAGGGGGCUAGCGUUACUCGGAAUUACUGGGCGUAAAGGGCGCGUAGGCGGCGUUCCAAGUUAGGCGUGAAAGUCCUGGGCUCAACCUGGGAACUGCGCUUAAGACUGGAAUGCUAGAGGAUGGAAGAGGGUUGUGGAAUUCCCAGUGUAGAGGUGAAAUUCGUAGAUAUUGGGAAGAACACCGGUGGGCGAAGGCGGCAACCUGGUCCAUUUCUGACGCUGAGGCGCGAUAGCGUGGGGGAGCAAACAGG